This 1280-nucleotide long non-coding RNA is filed under the name Danio rerio (zebrafish). RNAcentral's name for it is "lncRNA (ENSDARG00000097806.2)". The record is from RNAcentral. Lineage: Eukaryota; Metazoa; Chordata; Actinopteri; Cypriniformes; Danionidae.
ACCGGUGUUCUCCCGAGAGCCUGUGUUUACUUCUGAGCAACGUGAGACAACAGCUGCGGCUCACACGUGUCAUUUCUCUUAAAGUGCCACCGCUAAUGCAUUGAAGCCUGAAAAUGCAGCUGUACUGAAGAUCAUAACAGAGUCACAGCCAUUGAGAUCCGCACGUGAGAUGAAACGAGCAGAAAUGGCCUUAAGCUUCUAUGAAAGACAGGCUGCGGUGAGAGGGAUUCAUGCCACUUCAUCAAAAUUACACAGGCCUGUAUUGCCUAUACAGGUAUUACUGGCUACCAUCUGCUCUCCACUGUGUGUUUCUGAGGGUCUCUGCUUGGAGCAGCAGGGAUCUUCAUCCUCACUUCCACUGCUGAAGUCCAAAACCUCAGCGGGUUUAAUACAGACCCCUGCUGAUCCUCCUGCUCGCUCAGUAGCAGCAUCUGCUGACCAAGGAUCCUGAGAUGGAUGAUGGGAAAGAGACACGGGUCUGUGAAAGGGGUGGAUACUCACGGGUUCCUGCAUCCUUUCGUCCACGGCUUGAGUUCUGGCCGUCAUGAUUCCCACCUCCAAUUGGCCUUCCCUCUGUGCGCCCAUCACGCCAUUCCCAUCAUGUCAAGGAGAAGGAAUUCAUUUCAUAUAAACAGUUCAUUAAAGGCAUGUCAUCAGGGAUAUGCAUGACCCGCUGGGCCCGUACAGACAGUAUAUCCACAUUCUCAUCAGAACUUCUGCAUCACUAAUUCAUAACAGAUUCAAAGUUUGACAUUAAUAUCACCAAACCAGAGACGGGAAAACUGGUCGAUAUAAUAUCUGUCACAUUGGAAUAUUUGCACAUGAGGUGGGCAAAAGUUUGGAGUAAUUACGUUUUGUUUUUAAGAAGUCUAUUCUGCUCACCAAGAAUUCAUUCAUCUGAUUGAAAUCAUAGUAUUUAUUUGUAACAUAAAUGUUUUCUUUCAUUCCCAGAGAUGGGUCGCGGAUGGAAGGGCAUCCGCUGCGAAAAAAACUUGCUGGAUAAGUUGGCGGUUUAUUCCGCUGUGGCGACCCCGGAUUAUUAAAGGGACUACUCUGACGACUCUGCGCCAUCUUGUGACUUAAUAAUGCUCCAGUUAGUGUAUACUUCAUCCAUUGUUUUCAUUUCUGUCAGCUUUGCGUUUUUGACGAUUUGGAGCCAUCUUAUGAUUGAACAAUUUGCAAGUUAGUGUAUACUCCAUCAGUUGUUUUCAUUACUGUCAGCUGUGUUUUUGACAUUUUGGCGCCAUCUUGAGACUGAAUAAAGCGCAAGUUAGUGUAUA